CUCAUAGACACUAGAAAAACACCUGAUGGAACGAUAUGAGAUCCCCAUGUGCUGUGGCUACCUAAAACACUCAGACCGCCACUGACCGAUACCCCAGCACAAAUCACGCUACUCCUGAGAGUUUAGGACACGCACAGACACAAGGCUCUAGCUCCCAAAUCUCACAGGCCACACCACUAUGGGCCCUAACAUACAGUAUUCCCACAUUUCAUGCAACACCAUGGUAAGAGAGAGG
Pelobates cultripes (western spadefoot toad) is the source of this 235-nucleotide non-coding RNA. NCBI's taxonomy places the organism in Eukaryota, Metazoa, Chordata, Amphibia, Anura, Pelobatidae. The record is from the annotation of a GenBank genome assembly.